Molecule: ribosomal RNA, 419 nt
Filed under: uncultured bacterium
Lineage: Bacteria
Description: bacterial SSU rRNA
Rfam family: Bacterial small subunit ribosomal RNA
Source: RNAcentral
UAAGGAAUAUUGCUCAAUGGGAGAAAUCCUGAAGCAGCAACGCCGCGUGGAGGAUGAAGGGUCUUUGACUUGUAAACUCCUGUAAAGAAGGAAAAAAUUCCCAUUAGAUGGGCAAUGAUGGUACUUCUGAAGUAAGCUCCGGCUAACUACGUGCCAGCAGCCGCGGUAAUACGUAGGUGGCAAGCGUUGUCCGGAAUUAUUGGGCGUAAAGCGCGCGCAGGCGGAUUCGUAAGUCUACUUUAAAAGUGCGGAGCUCAACUCCGGGAGGGGGUAGAAACUGCGGAUCUUGAGGGUCGGAGAGGAAAGUGGAAUUCCCAGUGUAGCGGUGAAAUGCGUAGAUAUUGGGAGGAACACCAGUGGCGAAGGCGACUUUCUGGACGAUAACUGACGCUGAGGCGCGAAAGCCAGGGGAGUGAACG